Molecule: unclassified non-coding RNA, 240 nt
Filed under: soil metagenome
Description: partial contains 5.8S ribosomal RNA, internal transcribed spacer 2, and large subunit ribosomal RNA
Source: RNAcentral
AACGCACGAGACCUGCGGACCUGCGGAGGGAUCAUUAAUGGAUAAACUUGGUCAAGCUGUUGCUGGUCUCUCGAGACAUGUGCACGCUUGCCACCAACUUUAACCACCUGUGCACCUUUUGUAGACUGGAAACGUUUCUCGAGGCAACUCGGAUUGAGAAUUGCUGCGCGCAAGCCAGCUGUUCUUGUGUUUCUCAGUCUAUGUUUUCAUAUACUCCUAAUGUAUGUAAUCGAAUGUAUU